Molecule: ribosomal RNA, 250 nt
Filed under: uncultured bacterium
Lineage: Bacteria
Description: partial 16S ribosomal RNA
Rfam family: Bacterial small subunit ribosomal RNA
Source: RNAcentral
UACAGAGGUCCCAAGCGUUGUUCGGAUUCACUGGGCGUAAAGGGUGCGCAGGUGGCGCUUCAAGUUUGAUGUGAAAGCUUCGGGCUCAACCCGGAAAUGGCAUUGAAUACUGGAGUGCUUGAGGUUUGGAGGGGGGACUGGAAUUCUCGGUGUAGCAGUGAAAUGCGUAGAUAUCGAGAGGAACACCAGUGGCGAAGGCGAGUCCCUGGACAACACCUGACACUGAGGCACGAAAGCUAGGGGAGCAAAC